This 1339-nucleotide ribosomal RNA is filed under the name metagenome. Its description in RNAcentral is "bacterial LSU rRNA". It matches the Rfam family "Bacterial large subunit ribosomal RNA", at positions 1557 to 2925 of the family's 2925-position model. The record is from RNAcentral.
CAAAAAAAAAUAAGUAGGGAAGUCGCUGAUUUCACGCUGUCAAGAAAAGCUUCUAUUGAGAGAGAAGGUGCCCGUACCGUAAACCGACACAGGUAGGCGAGGAGAGAAUCCUAAGAUGAGCGGGAGAAGUGUUGUUAAGGAACUCGGCAAAAUGACUCCGUAACUUCGGGAGAAGGAGUGCCCACGUAAGUGGGCCGCAGAGAAGAGGCUCAAGCGACUGUUUAGCAAAAACAUAGGUCUCUGCUAAAUCGAAAGAUGAUGUAUAGGGGCUGACGCCUGCCCGGUGCUGGAAAGUUAAGAGGAGUGCUUAGCGCAAGCGAAGGUGCGAAUUUAAGCCCCAGUAAACGGCGGCCGUAACAAUAACGGUCCUAAGGUAGCGAAAUUCCUUGUCAGGUAAGUUCUGACCCGCACGAAAGGCGUAACGAUUUGAGCGCUGUCUCGACAACACACCCGGUGAAAUUGUAGUACUCGUGAAGAUGCGAGUUACCCGCGACAGGACGGAAAGACCCCGUAGAGCUUUACUGCAAUCUGGCAUUGAGUUUUGGUAGUACACGUACAGGAUAGGUGGGAGGCAGAGAAUUUGGGACGCUAGUUUCGAAGGAGCCAUCCUUGGGAUACCACCCUUGUACUAUUGGAAUUCUAACGAGUGGCCGUAAUCCGGUCAUCGGACAGUGUCAGACGGGCAGUUUGACUGGGGCGGUCGCCUCCUAAAAAGUAUCGGAGGCGCCCAAAGUUACCUUCAGGAUGGUUGGAAACCAUCUCUUAGAGUGCAAAGGCAAAAAGGUGAUUGACUGCGAGAGAGACAUCUCGAGCAGAGACGAAAGUCGGGCUUAGUGAUCCGGUGGUUCCGAGUGGAAGGGCCAUCGCUCAACGGAUAAAAGCUACCUCGGGGAUAACAGGCUUAUCUCCCCCAAGAGUCCACAUCGACGGGGAGGUUUGGCACCCGAUGUCGGCUCGUCUCAUCCUGGGGCUGAAGCAGGUCCCAAGGGUUGGGCUGUUCGCCCAUUAAAGAGGCACGCGAGCUGGGUUCAGAACGUCGUGAGACAGUUCGGUCCCUAUCCGUCGUGGGCGUCAGAUAUUUGAGAAGAGCUGUUCCUAGUACGAGAGGACCGGAACGGACAAACCACUGGUGCACCAGUUGUUCCGCCAGGAGCAUAGCUGGGUAGCUAAGUUUGGAAAGGAUAAGUGCUGAAGGCAUCUAAGCACGAAGCCCCCUUCAAGAUAAGAUAUCUCACCAGAAAUGGUUAAGGUCCCUGAUAGACGAUCAGGUAGAUAGGCUGGAUGUGGAAGUAUGGUAACAUAUGGAGCUGACCAGUACUAAUCGACCGAGGUCUUGACC